RNAcentral lists this ribosomal RNA (429 nucleotides) under uncultured bacterium. RNAcentral describes it as "bacterial SSU rRNA". It matches the Rfam family "Bacterial small subunit ribosomal RNA", at positions 355 to 776 of the family's 1533-position model. The record is from RNAcentral.
UGGGGAAUAUUGCACAAUGGGCGCAAGCCUGAUGCAGCCAUGCCGCGUGUGUGAAGAAGGCCUUCGGGUUGCAAAGCACUUUCAGCGGGGAGGAAGGCGGUGAGGUUAAUACCCUUGUCAAUUGACGUUACCCGCAGAAGAAGCACCGGCUAACUCCGUGCCAGCAGCCCCGGUAGUACGGAGGGUGCAAGCGUUAAUCGGAAUUACUGGGCGUAAAGCGCACGCAGGCGGUCAAUUAAGUCAGAUGUGAAAGCCCCGAGCUUAACUUGGGAAUUGCAUCUGAAACUGGUUGGCUAGAGUCUUGUAGAGGGGGGUAGAAUUCCAUGUGUAUCGGUGAAAUGCGUAGAGAUCUGGAGGAAUACCGGUGGCGAAGGCGGCCCCCUGGACGAAGACUGACGCUCAGGUGCGAAAGCGUGGGGAGCAAACAGG